RNAcentral lists this ribosomal RNA (2229 nucleotides) under human oral metagenome. Its description in RNAcentral is "bacterial LSU rRNA". It matches the Rfam family "Bacterial large subunit ribosomal RNA", at positions 396 to 2644 of the family's 2925-position model. The record is from RNAcentral.
GACUGGAAGCACCCGAGUAGCGUCAGGCACGAGGAAUCUGGCGUGAAUCAGCGUGGACCAAAUCACGUAAGGCUAAAUACUGUUGUUGACCGAUAGUGAAGAGUACCGUGAGGGAAAGGUGAAAAGAACCCUGAGCAAGGGAGUGAAACAGAAUUUGAAACCGUGUGCUUACAAACGGUAGGAGCACAUUAUGUGUGACUGCGUGGAUUUUGGUUAAUCAUCCUGCGAGUUAUGGCUGGUGGCAAGGUUAAUAGACGGAGCCGAAGGGAAACCAAGUCUUAAUAGGGCGUCAAGUCGCCAGUCAUAGACGCGAAACCUAGUGAUCUAGGCCUGUCCAGGCUGAAGCUGAGGUAAGACUCAGUGGAGGGCCGAACUCACCGCCGUUGAAAAGUUGGGAGAUGAGAUAGGUCUAGGGGUGAAAAGCCAAUCGAACUAGGAGAUAGCUCGUUCUCUCCGAAAUGCAUUUAGGUGCAGCCUUGAACUGAGAUAUGUGGGGGUAGAGCUCUGUAUGAUCUAGGGGGCGUACUGCUUACCGAAAUCAAGCAAACUUCGAAUACCAUAUAUCAUGUUCAGGAGUGAGUCCGUGGAUGACAAGGUCCUCGGACGAGAGGGGAACAGCCCAGACCGCCAGCUAAGGUCCCUAAUUAUGUCUAAGUGGGAAAGGAGGUGGACAUUCAUAGACAACCAGGAGGUUGGCUUAGAAGCAGCCAUGCCUUGAAAGAGUGCGUAAUAGCUCACUGGUCGAGAGUGCCUGCGCCGAAGAUGUAACGGGGCUAAGACAUAAACCGAAGCUGCGGAAGAUACACUGUAUCUUGGUAGGAGAGCGUUCUGUAGGCCGUCGAAGGGAUGCCGCAAGGCCGUCCUGGAGGUAUCAGAAGCGAGAAUGCAGGAAUGAGUAGCGAGAAGGCGGGCGAGAAUCCCGCCGGCCGGAAGUCCAAGGUUUCCAGGGGAAGGCUUGUCCGCCCUGGGGAAGUCGGGACCUAAGCAUAAGCAAAAUUGUGAUGGCGAAUGGAAAACAGGUUAAUAUUCCUGUACCGCUGUUAUCGCUUGAGAGACGGAGUGACGCAGGAAGGUAUGCGAGAAGGCUGACGGUUUAGCCUUUCUAAGGGCCCAGCGUGGGCGUGCAGGUAAAUCCGCACGCCUAAACGUGAGACCUGACGGGGAAGUGCAUUUGCAUAAGUCGCAGAUCCUACACUGCCAAGAAAAACUUCUAUCGAUGAGAAGCAGCGCCCGUACUGUAAACCGACACAGGUGGACAGAGUGAGAAACUUAAGGCCGACAGGAUAACUCUAGCUAAGGAACUCUGCAAAAUAGCCCCGUAACUUCGGGAGAAGGGGUGCCUGACAUACCUGAAGGAGAGAAGCGCUCCCAGGGGAAACAGGCCGCAGUGAAGAGUCUCAAGCAACUGUUUACCAAAAACACAGGUCUAUGCUAAGCUGAAAGGCGACGUAUAUGGGCUGACACCUGCCCAGUGCCGGAAGGUUAAGAGGAGGAGUGAGAGCUCCGAUUUGAAGCCCCGGUGAACGGCGGCCGUAACUAUAACGGUCCUAAGGUAGCGAAAUUCCUUGUCGGGUAAGUUCCGACCUGCACGAAUGGUGAAAUGAUUUGAGAGCUGUCUUGGCUGGAGACCUGGUGAAGUUGUAAUGCCGGUGAAGAUACCGGCUACCUGCAGUAGGACGGAAAGACCCCGUGGAGCUUUACUGUAGCUUGGCAUUGGGUUCUGGCAAUGUGUGUAUAGGAUAGUUGGGAGACUAUGAUGUAAUGGCGUCAGCCAUUGCUGAGUCGCUGUUGGAAUACCAACCAUAUGUUGUCGGAAUUCUAAUCUGACAACGGAGACAGUGCUAGGUGGGCAGUUUGACUGGGGCGGUCGCCUCCCAAAGAGUAACGGAGGCGUUCAAAGGUUCCCUCAGGCUGGAUGGAAAUCAGCCUAAGAGUGCAAACGCAUAAGGGAGCUUGACUGCAAGACUGACGGGUCGAGCAGGUACGAAAGUAGGAGUUAGUGAUCCGGCGGUUCCGCAUGGAAGGACCGUCGCUCAACGGAUAAAAGCUACCCCGGGGAUAACAGGCUGAUACUUCCCAAGAGUCCAUAUCGACGGAAGUGUUUGGCACCUCGAUGUCGGCUCGUCUCAUCCUGGGGCUGGAGAAGGUCCCAAGGGUUGGGCUGUUCGCCCAUUAAAGAGGCACGCGAGCUGGGUUCAGAACGUCGUGAGACAGUUCGGUCCCUAUCCA